This 541-nucleotide long non-coding RNA is filed under the name Citrus x clementina. RNAcentral describes it as "Citrus clementina (C. clementina) long non-coding RNA (CCLE_LNC002454)". The record is from RNAcentral. Lineage: Eukaryota; Viridiplantae; Streptophyta; Magnoliopsida; Sapindales; Rutaceae.
ACUUUAAAUUAAUUUCUUCUAUGAUUACAAAAGUAGAGUAUACAAUAUUUGAGAAAAAAUAAUAAUUUAACAAGUUAAAAGAAAUUAAGGUUUAAGAAAUUAAAUUAGCUAAAUUAAAUAUUAAUAGAAAUUAUCAUGUGGGUGUACUUAAAACAUGUUUACCCUUUUAAGUCAUUUCAUAUAAGGAUGAAAUAAAUAUUAGUAUAAAAGUGAUUAGUGGGGGUAUGUAAGAUAUAAUUAAAGGGUCAAAUAUCAACUCUUAAAUAUGCACAUGGGGUUUGAUGUGGGAAAUUUAGGGGUGAUAAUAGCAUCCUGAGCUGUUAGUCUAAAUCGGGGCAAUGUAAAAGCCCAGAAGGGAACUGGAUUGAUGCAGUAAUGCAACAAAACAAACUAGACUGAUAUAUUUUGGAGUGGAGCGUUUAAGACUCCACCAAAAUCCUUGUAACACCUUUUGAAUGUUAUUUAUUUCUUAAAGUACCUUCAGUUUAAUUAAUAAAAUGCCCAUUCAUAUAUUAAUAAAUCUAACUAAAUUCUCAUAAAG